Molecule: ribosomal RNA, 468 nt
Filed under: uncultured bacterium
Lineage: Bacteria
Description: partial 16S ribosomal RNA
Rfam family: Bacterial small subunit ribosomal RNA
Source: RNAcentral
GAUGAACGCUGGCGGCGUGCCUAAUACAUGCAAGUCGAACGAAGAAAGAAGAGCUUUCCCUUCUUGACGAUAGGCGAACGCGGGUGUGACACGUGUGUAACACGCCCCUGACUGUCUGGGAUAACCUGGAAACAGCGUCUAAUACCGGAUACGAGACAUAGCAGCAUGGCUACUGUCUGGAAAGUACUGCGGUCUGGGCUGGACUCGCGGCCUAUCAGCUUGUUGGUGAGGUAACGGCUCACGAAGGCAACGACGGGUAGCCGGCCUGAGAGGGCGAACGGCCACCAUGGGACUGCGGGAGGCAGCAGUAGGGUACGGUAGGCAGUAGGCGGGAGCAUGGCGCAACGGGCGAGAGCCUGUGGCGACGGUGCCGGGAGCGGGAAGCCGGCCUUCGGGGUGUAAACAAAUGUCUACGGAGAAGAAGCGAAAGUGACGGUACCUGAAGAGGAAGCACCGGCUAACUACGUG